Molecule: ribosomal RNA, 253 nt
Filed under: uncultured bacterium
Lineage: Bacteria
Description: partial 16S ribosomal RNA
Rfam family: Bacterial small subunit ribosomal RNA
Source: RNAcentral
UACGGAGGGUGCAAGCGUUAUCCGGAUUCACUGGGUUUAAAGGGUGCGUAGGCGGGUAGGUAAGUCAGUGGUGAAAUCUUCGAGCUCAACUCGGAAACUGCCAUUGAUACUAUUUAUCUUGAAUAUUGUGGAGGUGAGCGGAAUAUGUCAUGUAGCGGUGAAAUGCUUAGAUAUGACAUAGAACACCAAUUGCGUAGGCAGCUCGCUACACAUAUAUUGACGCUGAGGCACGAAAGCGUGGGGAUCAAACAGG